GAAACAGAAAAGGUGGAGAGAACAGAAGCAACGUUUUCAUGAGGCAUUUUGGUGUGUCGAUUUUUUUUUUUUUUUUUUUGGUUGUUGUGUGCUUCGUCAUUUUUUUCUAUUUUUGAUUGGUUGAAUUUUA
Molecule: non-coding RNA, 130 nt
Filed under: Platyophrya macrostoma
Lineage: Eukaryota; Ciliophora; Colpodea; Cyrtolophosidida; Platyophryidae
Source: RNAcentral